AGAGUUUGAUCAUGGCUCAGGAUGAACGCUAGCUACAGGCUUAACACAUGCAAGUCGAGGGGAAACGACAUCGAAAGCUUGCUUUUGAUGGGCGUCGACCGGCGCACGGGUGAGUAACGCGUAUCCAACCUGCCCAUCACUUGGGGAUAACCUUGCGAAAGUAAGACUAAUACCCAAUGAUAUCUCUAGAAGACAUCUGAAAGAGAUCAAAGAUUUAUCGGUGAUGGAUGGGGAUGCGUCUGAUUAGCUUGUUGGCGGGGUAACGGCCACCAAGGCUACGAUCAGUAGGGUUCUGAGAGAAGGUCCCCCANAUUGGAACUGAGACACGGUCCAAACUCCUACGGGAGGCA
RNAcentral lists this ribosomal RNA (350 nucleotides) under uncultured bacterium. RNAcentral's name for it is "bacterial SSU rRNA". It matches the Rfam family "Bacterial small subunit ribosomal RNA", at positions 8 to 350 of the family's 1533-position model. The record is from RNAcentral.